This is a long non-coding RNA of Bos taurus (domestic cattle), 681 nucleotides long. NCBI's taxonomy places the organism in Eukaryota, Metazoa, Chordata, Mammalia, Artiodactyla, Bovidae. The record is from Ensembl.
UUGAUAAGCUGUCUGGUGGGAGAGGUUCUGAUCUAAAGAUUAGAACAAUCAUUACCUGGGGCCAGGGGCAAGAAUGUAGGAAGGUCUUCCCCAAUGACUCAGCAGUAAAGAAUCCACCUGCAAUGCUGGAGACACAGGUUCAGUCCUUGGGUUGAGAAGAUCCCCUGGAGGAGGAAUUUGCAACCCACUCCAAUGUUCUUGCCUGGGAAAUCCCAUGGACAGGGGAGCCUAGCAGGCUACACAGUCCAUGGGGUUGCAAAAGAGUAGGAACCAACUUGGUGACUAAACAACAACAAUCUUUUGACUAUCUGGUUUUUGUUGCAAAACUCCUGUAUAUCCUGGCUCCUCCCUUAUAUCUUGGGAGCUGUCCCUUGGAGCUCUCUGAGAAACUGUCGUCCAGGCUUAAGUCUCCAGAAGUUUCACCAAAUAAAACAUAAUUCUCAAACUUUUAUGUUGUGCAUUUUUCAGUCAACACAUAUUUACUUUGACAUCCCAGUGACUCAGAUUGCAAAAACAACCUAACUCCCAUGCUUAGCUCAGUAACAAUGAUAACUAUUUUGGGUGCUUGCUAAGUGCCUGAUCCUGCUGUAAGCACUUUCCAGGCUUCAGCCCUCAUAGCAAACCCAGGGUAGGUUCUAUUAUUAGCUCCAUUUUGCAUAAGAACAAAUUGCCCAAGGUCAA